Molecule: unclassified non-coding RNA, 721 nt
Filed under: Hevea brasiliensis (rubber tree)
Lineage: Eukaryota; Viridiplantae; Streptophyta; Magnoliopsida; Malpighiales; Euphorbiaceae
Source: RNAcentral
GUAGGCACUCUUUGGUGGAAAGGUUGUUUAGGAGGCAGGUUAUUAAGGGAAAAAGGUACCAAAUGGAAACUCCAUUCAAGAAUGGAACUUUUCAUAUUUGAUUAAUUUACUGUUGUCAAAAUGUGACUAGAGACAGAUACUACUUUGUUACUGUCAUUCAAUUCUCUGAUUUAUAUUUUAAUAUUUGUAAAUAGUAUCCUUUGUUCCUUUCCAAAUGAAGGAGGCAACCUAAAAUACAACCAUGUAUGCAAGUGUGGAAUUGCAUAGAAUGGGAAGGCAUAUUCAUGAUACUUUAUUGUCCGCUUCUCUAUAUAUUACAGUUAUGAUCAUUUGAGAUCCAGUGGUAAUCAAUAAGUUGAGAUCAGGUAUAUAACAUAAGGGUGACAAUUAGAUCUACUCCUACAUUUCAAAGAUAUUUUUGAAAUUUUAAAUGAAAUAUGAUUAGAUGACUGAAAUGAAUUUCUUGGUUAUUGGUUUCAUUUGGUGGAAAUUAUGUUUAGGAUAAGCACCUAUGAGAACAAGGUAUGGUGAAUCAAGCACUUCUGCAAUUACUUUCCCUAAUUAAUAUGCACUCAAGUCAAGCAGUAACAUACACAUACUGAGGCACACACAAAUUAUGGAUAGCACAUGCAUAUAAUGCGUAGAUAUUUCAAUCAUGUAAUUUCUAUAUAUCCUCUGAAGAAAAUCCUUCCAAACUGACUGUUAUUGGGCAAAUCUUAAA